This is a long non-coding RNA of Magnolia sinica, 659 nucleotides long. RefSeq lists it as uncharacterized. The record is from RefSeq and is a predicted model, not a curated record. NCBI's taxonomy places the organism in Eukaryota, Viridiplantae, Streptophyta, Magnoliopsida, Magnoliales, Magnoliaceae. The transcript is spliced from 5 exons.
CUCUCUCUCUCUCUCUCUCUCUCUCUCUCUCUCGGCCCCUGUCCCCGCCUUCCAGGCUCUAGAAUCUUCAUCUCUCUCUCUCUCUCUCUCUCUCUCUCUCUCUCUGUCUGUCUUCCAUCCUCCGGCACGAACCGAAGACCGCAGUUGUUGUACUGCCUGUCCAUCCUACACGAUCAGUGCACCAGGUCUGGCCAGAUCUGGUCUUUUUACUCACUGCAAACAGAUUGAGCGGCAUCUUAAUAUAGGGAGCUGGUCCCUAAGCUCAAAGUUCAAUGCAACAAUACAUAGUGCUGGAGGGAAUGAUGGUGUUAAGGUUGUCAAUGAUAAGGAUGGAUCUUGUUCUAUUUCUACUGCCAAUGGAAAUGUUAACUCCCCACCACCAGAUUGGUUGGAUCCGUCAUUACAGCUGAAUGUUCCUCUAGUUGACGUGGACAAGCGACAUUGAGGAAAGUGAACUCUCUGAUGCAAGCUCAACAAAUUUGAAAGAAGAUGGAUCUUCACCAUCCCUAACUCUGAUCAGAAAGUAGUCGAUCACAAUGCAUCAUUAACAUGAGAGAUGCUUCGGAGUAGACUUCCUUUUUCUCUAUCUAGGGUCCAUGUACACUGGAGUAGACUUCUACAAGAAGUUGUGUGGAGUGUCCAUUAUUCAAAGGUGAGCU